AGAUUGGUACGACAGCUCUACAUGUUGCUGCACACUUUGGACAUCCACUAAUAUUGCAACUUCUUCUAGAUGCAGGUGCACAGCUCCUAAAAAGAAAGAAUGGCAACACUCCUCUACAUGACUGUUUCAUGGAUCCCAAGCGAACAUAUUCACAGCAUUUCGAAGUUAGCAAUGUUCUAUUGAACAAAGACAGAAACUUGUCGUUUCUUAAAAACAAUUUUGGUGAAACUGCUGCCGACAUCUACCAAAAACAUGAAUGUAGAGAAUAUUCAGAUUACCAUAAAUCUGCAGAAAGGGAAAGAUUAUUUUACAUACUGAAAGGUUAGUUGCAG
Molecule: long non-coding RNA, 332 nt
Organism: Anneissia japonica
Lineage: Eukaryota; Metazoa; Echinodermata; Crinoidea; Comatulida; Comatulidae
Exons: 3
Source: RefSeq, a predicted model, not a curated record